RNAcentral lists this non-coding RNA (29 nucleotides) under Mus musculus (house mouse). The record is from RNAcentral. Lineage: Eukaryota; Metazoa; Chordata; Mammalia; Rodentia; Muridae.
UUGUGAUGUCAUAUACUUUCAAAGGUCCC